AGAACGAACGCUGGCGGCAGGCUUAACACAUGCAAGUCGAACGCUCCUAGCAAUAGGGGAGUGGCAGACGGGUGAGUAACGCGUGGGAACAUACCCUCCGGUUCGGAAUAACUCAGGGAAACUUGAGCUAAUACCGGAUCCGCCCCCGGACUUGAUCCGGGGGGAAAGAUUUAUCGCCGGAGGAUUGGCCCGCGUCCGAUUAGCUAGUUGGUAAGGUAACGGCUCACCAAGGCGACGAUCAGUAGCUGGUCUGAGAGGAUGAUCAGCCACAUUGGGACUGAGACACGGCCCAAACUCCUACGGGAGGCAGCAGUGGGGAAUAUUGGACAAUGGGCGCAAGCCUGAUCCAGCCAUGCCGCGUGAGUGAUGAAGGCCCUAGGGUUGUAAAGUCUCUUUUGUGCGGGAAGAUAAUGACGGUACCGCAAGAAUAAGCCCGGCUAACUUCGUGCCAGCAGCCGC
This 459-nucleotide ribosomal RNA is filed under the name uncultured bacterium. RNAcentral describes it as "SSU rRNA". It matches the Rfam family "Bacterial small subunit ribosomal RNA", at positions 26 to 518 of the family's 1533-position model. The record is from RNAcentral.